RNAcentral lists this ribosomal RNA (1388 nucleotides) under marine metagenome. RNAcentral's name for it is "bacterial LSU rRNA". It matches the Rfam family "Bacterial large subunit ribosomal RNA", at positions 610 to 2109 of the family's 2925-position model. RNAcentral also lists the same sequence under 1 other name. The record is from RNAcentral.
GUAUAAUGGGUCAGCGACUUAAUAUCAAUAGCAAGCUUAAGGCAUAUAGCUGUAGGCGAAGCGAAAGCGAGUCUGAAUAGGGCGACUUAGUUAUUGGUAUUAGACUCGAAACCGGGUGAUCUAGUCAUGUGCAGGUUGAAAGUGAAGUAAAAUUCACCGGAGGACCGAACCCACUAACGUUGAAAAGUUACGGGAUGACAUGUGAUUAGGGGUGAAAGGCCAACCAAACCCGGAAAUAGCUAGUUCUCCGCGAAAUCUAUUUAGGUAGAGCGUCGUGCGAAUCUUAUUGGGGGUAGAGCACUGAAAGGGCUAGGGGGAAGCAAUUCCUACCAAACCUUAUCAAACUCCGAAUACCAGUAAGUCUACACGGCAGACAGUCCAUGGGUGCUAACGUCCUUGGACAAGAGGGAAACAACCCAGAUCAACAGCUAAGGUCCCAAAAUAAUGGUUAAGUGUGAAAGGGAGUGGGAACUCCAAGACAGCCAGGAGGUUGGCUUAGAAGCAGCCAUCCUUUAAAGAAAGCGUAACAGCUCACUGGUCUAAAUAAGUUGUCCGGCGCCGAAGAUUUAACGGGGCUAAACAAUACACCGAAGCUUUGGACACAAUUUAUUGUGUGGUAGCGGAGCGUUCCGUACGUUGUUGAAGGGAGACUCGUGAGAGCUCCUGGAGAUAUCGGAAGUGAGAAUGCUGACAUGAGUAGCGACAAAAAGUGUGAGAAACACUUUCGCCGAAAAUCCAAGGGUUCCUGCGCAAGGCUAAUCCGCGCAGGGUGAGUCGGCUCCUAAGGCGAGGUCGAAAGACGUAGUCGAUGGGAAACAGGUUAAUAUUCCUGUACCUGAUGAGAUGUGACGGAUGACGUAUAUUGUAUACCCUUAUAAUGAUUGGGUGUGCAGUGAAGUUGUUCCAGGAAAUAGCCUCAUCAUUAAAGACCGUACCCGAAACCGACACAGGUGGAUAGGUAGAAUAUACCAAGGCGCUUGAGAGAACUAUGUUGAAGGAACUCGGCAAAAUAACUCCGUAACUUCGGGAGAAGGAGGACCUAUGUUUGGGCAACCAGAUGUAGGUGGCACAGAAAUGGGGGUAGCAACUGUUUAUUAAAAACACAGGACUCUGCAAAGCCGCAAGGCGAAGUAUAGGGUCUGACGCCUGCCCGGUGCCGGAAGAUUAAAGUGAGUGGUGCAAGCUACGAGCUGAAGUCCCGGUGAACGGCGGCCGUAACUAUAACGGUCCUAAGGUAGCGAAAUUCCUUGUCGGGUAAGUUCCGACCUGCACGAAUGGCGUAAUGAUUUCCCCGCUGUCUCCAGCAUAGACUCAGCGAAAUUGAAUUCUCCGUGAAGAUGCGGAGUACCCGCGGUUAGACGGAAAGACCCCGUGCACCUUUACUAUAG